Molecule: ribosomal RNA, 497 nt
Filed under: uncultured bacterium
Lineage: Bacteria
Description: partial 16S ribosomal RNA
Rfam family: Bacterial small subunit ribosomal RNA
Source: RNAcentral
GAUGAACGCUGGCGGCGUGCCUAAUACAUGCAAGUCGAGCGAACAGACGAGGAGCUUGCUCCUCUGACGUUGGCGGCGGACGGGUGAGUAACACGUGGAUAACCUACCUAUAAGACUGGGAUAACUUCGGGAAACCGGAGCUAAUACCGGAUAAUAUAUUGAACCGCAUGGUUCAAUAGUGAAAGACGGUUUUGCUGUCACUUAUAGAUGGAUCCGCGCCGCAUUAGCUAGUUGGUAAGGUAACGGCUUACCAAGGCGACGAUGCGUAGCCGACCUGAGAGGGUGAUCGGCCACACUGGAACUGAGACACGGUCCAGACUCCUACGGGAGGCAGCAGUAGGGAAUCUUCCGCAAAGGGCGAAAGCCUGACGGAGCAACGCCGCGUGAGUGAUGAAGGUCUUCGGAUCGUAAAACUCUGUUAUUAGGGAAGAACAAAUGUGUAAGUAACUAUGCACGUCUUGACGGUACCUAAUCAGAAAGCCACGGCUAACUACGUG